UACGGAGGGUGCAAGCGUUAUCCGGAUUUACUGGGUUAAAGGGUGCGUAGGCGGGCAGGUAAGUCAGGGGUGAAAUCUUCGAGCUUAACUCGGAAACUGCCUUUGAUACUAUCUGUCUUGAAUAUUGUGGAGGUAAGCGGAAUAUGUCAUGUAGCGGUGAAAUGCUUAGAUAUGACAUAGAACACCUAUUGCGAAGGCAGCUUACUACGCAUAUAUUGACGCUGAGGCACGAAAGCGUGGGGAUCAAACAGG
RNAcentral lists this ribosomal RNA (252 nucleotides) under uncultured bacterium. RNAcentral describes it as "partial 16S ribosomal RNA". It matches the Rfam family "Bacterial small subunit ribosomal RNA", at positions 524 to 776 of the family's 1533-position model. The record is from RNAcentral.